RNAcentral lists this ribosomal RNA (465 nucleotides) under uncultured bacterium. Its description in RNAcentral is "bacterial SSU rRNA". It matches the Rfam family "Bacterial small subunit ribosomal RNA", at positions 339 to 796 of the family's 1533-position model. The record is from RNAcentral.
CUACGGGAGGCAGCAGUGGGGAAUAUUGCGCAAUGCCCGCAAGGGUGACGCAGCGACGCCGCGUGGGUGAAGAAGCACUAAGGUGUGUAAAGCCCUGUCAGAAGGGAAGAACGGCGAUGUUUCGAAAGGGGCAUCGUGUGACGGUACCUUCAGAGGAAGCUCCGGCUAACUCCGUGCCAGCAGCCGCGGUAAUACGGGGGGAGCAAGCGUUGUCCGGAAUCACUGGGUGUAAAGGGCGUGUAGGCGGGCUGGUAAGUCAGAUGUGAAAUCCCACGGCUCAACCGUGGAGGGUCAUCUGAUACUGCUGGUCUUGAGUGCGAGAGAGGGUGAUGGAAUUCCCGGUGUAGCGGUGAAAUGCGUAGAUAUCGGGAGGAACGCCAAAAGCGAAAGCAGCCGGCUGGGUCGAGACUGACACUGAGGGACGAAAGCGUGGGUAGCGAACAGGAUUAGAUACCCUGGUAGUCC